UACAGAGGUCUUGAGCGUUAGGCGGAAUCACUGGGCUUAAAGCGUAUGCAGGCGGAUCGUUAAGUCGGGGGUGAAAUCCCGAGGCUCAACCUCGGAACUGCCUUCGAUACUGGCGACCUUCGAGUCCGGGAGAGGUGAGUGGAACUCCGAGUGUAGAGGUGAAAUUCGUAGAUAUUCGGAAGAACACCAGUGGCGAAGGCGGCUCACUGGCCCGGUACUGACGCUGAGAUACGAAAGCGUGGGGAGCAAACAGG
RNAcentral lists this ribosomal RNA (254 nucleotides) under uncultured bacterium. RNAcentral's name for it is "partial 16S ribosomal RNA". It matches the Rfam family "Bacterial small subunit ribosomal RNA", at positions 524 to 776 of the family's 1533-position model. The record is from RNAcentral.